This 88-nucleotide unclassified non-coding RNA is filed under the name Pseudomonas sp. Z003-0.4C(8344-21). The record is from RNAcentral. Lineage: Bacteria; Pseudomonadati; Pseudomonadota; Gammaproteobacteria; Pseudomonadales; Pseudomonadaceae.
GUGGGAGCGAGCCUGCUCGCGAUGGCGGUGUGUCAGUCAGCUUCAAUGUUGAUUGAUACAACGCUAUCGCGAGCAGGCUCACUCCUAC